Molecule: ribosomal RNA, 501 nt
Filed under: uncultured bacterium
Lineage: Bacteria
Description: partial 16S ribosomal RNA
Rfam family: Bacterial small subunit ribosomal RNA
Source: RNAcentral
AUUGAACGCUGGCGGCAUGCCUUACACAUGCAAGUCGAACGGCAGCACGGGUGCUUGCACCUGGUGGCGAGUGGCGAACGGGUGAGUAAUACAUCGGAACGUACCUUAUCGUGGGGGAUAACGCAGCGAAAGCUGUGCUAAUACCGCAUACGCCCUGAGGGGGAAAGCGGGGGAUCGAAAGACCUCGCGCGAUUAGAGCGGCCGAUGCCUGAUUAGCUUGUUGGUGGGGUAAAAGCCCACCAAGGCGACGAUCAGUAGCUGGUCGGAGAGGACGAGCAGCCACACUGGGACUGAGACACGGCCCAGACUCCUACGGGAGGCAGCAGUGGGGAAUUUUGGACAAUGGGGGCAACCCUGAUCCAGCAAUGCCGCGUGAGUGAGGAAGGCCUUCGGGCUGUAAAGCUCUUUUGUCAGGGAAGAAACACCGGCUCUAACACAGUCCGGGAAUGACGGUACCUGAAGAAUAAGCACCGGCUAACUACGUGCCAGCCGCCGCCGUAA